This 485-nucleotide ribosomal RNA is filed under the name uncultured bacterium. RNAcentral's name for it is "bacterial SSU rRNA". It matches the Rfam family "Bacterial small subunit ribosomal RNA", at positions 28 to 507 of the family's 1533-position model. The record is from RNAcentral.
GAUGAACGCUAGCUACAGGCUUAACACAUGCAAGUCGAGGGCAGCACUAGGUAGCAAUACUGAGGUGGCGACCGGCGCACGGGUGCGUAACGCGUAUCCAACCUUCCCGAUACUCUUGGAUAGCCUUCCGAAAGGGAGAUUAAUACAAGAUGGUGUUUCACUUUCGCAUGUUAUUGAAACUAAAGAUUUAUCGGUAUCGGAUGGGGAUGCGUGACAUUAGAUAGUAGGCGGGGUAACGGCCCACCUAGUCUACGAUGUCUAGGGGUUCUGAGAGGAAGGUCCCCCACACUGGAACUGAGACACGGUCCAGACUCCUACGGGAGGCAGCAGUGAGGAAUAUUGGUCAAUGGUCGGAAGACUGAACCAGCCAAGUAGCGUGAAGGAUGAAGGUUCUAUGGAUUGUAAACUUCUUUUAUACGGGAAUAAAACCUCCCACGUGUGGGAGCUUGUAUGUACCGUAUGAAUAAGCAUCGGCUAACUCCGUG